UCUGCCAUGUGAGUGAGUUAAAUUAGUCUGUGGAAGGGUCUGGUACAUGCCAGAGGAGGUCCCAGGCAAGCCCGUGAGCAUUUGGAUGGGAAAUGGGGAGCGAGUGACCCUUGUAUUAUGGCAUGUUAACUUCAGCUCUUUGUGAACUGCUUGCAGAUCUGUAGAAGGUAGAAUUCUGUAUUACGGCCUUCUCCAAGUCAUCAUCAACCUACACACCUGACUUACUGUGUGGCCCAGCUCAAUGGGGUUGUCCUGACUGGGAUCAUAAGCCCGGAGUGGAAUUUCAGCCCUUCACGGCCAGCCCAGCCACAGCGAAUGGAGUGGAUGCUAACCUGUCUUUGGCCAUAAGUGGAAGCAUUCCCUGAAGGAGGGAAGGCUGCAGAUCCACGAUUCACAGAAGGUAACCUAGAUGGAGAUCAUGGAGUUUGAUGGAUCAGCUUUCUCACCUUUUCGUUCAUGAGUAUUGCUCCAAAACUUCCAGAAAGCAAGCACUUAGACCUUAGUCUAGCAAAGCACUGAAGUGAUGCCUUCAAAGACAAUGUCACUGCACCUAGAGUUCCGCUGACGAGCUGAGGCCCUAAUUCAUGGCAGGAGUCAUCCACAGAUGUCUGUUUUGGCAUAAAUGCAUGUAUUAUGGUUUGCUACACUUGAGUUUU
This 656-nucleotide long non-coding RNA is filed under the name Dromaius novaehollandiae (emu). RNAcentral's name for it is "lncRNA (ENSDNVG00000013540.1)". The record is from RNAcentral. Lineage: Eukaryota; Metazoa; Chordata; Aves; Casuariiformes; Dromaiidae.